UACAGAGGACUCAAGCGUUGUUCGGAUUCAUUGGGCGUAAAGGGUGCGUAGGUGGCGGGGCAAGUCAGGUGUGAAAUCUCGGGGCUCAACCCCGAAACUGCACUUGAUACUGCUUUGCUCGAGUACUGGAGAGGAGACUGGAAUUUACGGUGUAGCAGUGAAAUGCGUAGAUAUCGUAAGGAAGACCAGUGGCGAAGGCGAGUCUCUGGACAGUUACUGACACUGAGACACGAAGGCCAGGGGAGCAAACGGG
RNAcentral lists this ribosomal RNA (253 nucleotides) under uncultured bacterium. RNAcentral describes it as "partial 16S ribosomal RNA". It matches the Rfam family "Bacterial small subunit ribosomal RNA", at positions 524 to 776 of the family's 1533-position model. The record is from RNAcentral.